This 109-nucleotide ribosomal RNA is filed under the name Brassica napus (rape). The record is from RNAcentral. Lineage: Eukaryota; Viridiplantae; Streptophyta; Magnoliopsida; Brassicales; Brassicaceae.
AUACCAGCACUAAUGCACCGGAUCCCAUUAGAACUCCGCAGUUAAGCGUGCUUGGGCGAGAGUAGUACUAGGAUGGGUGACCUCCCGGGAAGUCCUCGUGUUGCACCCC